RNAcentral lists this small nucleolar RNA (124 nucleotides) under Daucus carota subsp. sativus. Its description in RNAcentral is "sRNA DCAR_sn00119". It matches the Rfam family "Small nucleolar RNA SNORD14". Rfam says of the family: U14 small nucleolar RNA (U14 snoRNA) is required for early cleavages of eukaryotic precursor rRNAs. The record is from Rfam by way of RNAcentral. Lineage: Eukaryota; Viridiplantae; Streptophyta; Magnoliopsida; Apiales; Apiaceae.
AGCUGAUGAUGAUGAAAGUAAGGCUUGUUUCUCAGAGACAUUCGCAGUGGCCGACUAAGAUCUUUCGCCUUUCGCCGGGCUUGAGAGAUAAUGCUGCUCUUUCCUUCCUUGGAUGUCUGAAGCU